CCUACGAGUGGCAGCAGUGAGGAAUAUUGGUCAAUGGACGAGAGUCUGAACCAGCCAAGUAGCGUGAAGGAUGACUGCCCUAUGGGUUGUAAACUUCUUUUAUAUGGGAAUAAAAUGUUCCACGUGUGGGAUUUUGUAUGUACCAUAUGAAUAAGGAUCGGCUAACUCCGUGCCAGCAGCCUCGGUAAUACGGAGGCACCGAGCGUUAUCCGGAUUUAUUGGGUUUAAAGGGAGCGUAGGUGGAGUUGUAAGUCAGUUGUGAAAGUUUGCGGCUCAACAGUAAAAUUGCCGUUGAAACUGGCAGUCUUGAGUACAGGAGAGGUGGGCGGAAGUCGUGGUGUAGCGGUGAAAUGCUUAGAUAUCACGAAGAACUCCGAUUGCGAAGGCAGCUCACUGGACUGCAACUGACACUGAGGCUCGAAAGUGUGGGUAUCAAACAGGAUUAGAUACCCGUGUAGUC
This 460-nucleotide ribosomal RNA is filed under the name uncultured bacterium. RNAcentral's name for it is "partial 16S ribosomal RNA". It matches the Rfam family "Bacterial small subunit ribosomal RNA", at positions 338 to 795 of the family's 1533-position model. The record is from RNAcentral.